Non-coding RNA from Cladochytrium replicatum, 73 nucleotides. The record is from the annotation of a GenBank genome assembly. NCBI's taxonomy places the organism in Eukaryota, Fungi, Chytridiomycota, Chytridiomycetes, Cladochytriales, Cladochytriaceae.
GCUUCCUUGGCUUAGUUGGCAAAGCGUGUGCCUAGUAAGCACAAGAUCAUGAGUUCGAUUCUCAUAGGAAGCA